RNA transcript from Myzus persicae (green peach aphid), 1362 nucleotides. RefSeq lists it as uncharacterized. The transcript has 6 exons. The record is from RefSeq and is a predicted model, not a curated record. Lineage: Eukaryota; Metazoa; Arthropoda; Insecta; Hemiptera; Aphididae.
UUAUCAAAGGUCCGUCGGUAGAAUAUUAUUGUCUUUCAUUCCGGUGAUAAGCACAACUGUUGCACACUCGCACUGCUUAAUGAUAACGCCACCUAUCAUAAUCUGAUCGAUACGAGAUAGUUUUUUGUUAAUUGCUAUUGCUAUUUACAUACUAAUCCUACUAGUCACUAUAAUAGACUAUUGUAAACAUUUUACGUCGACUCAAGAAUUUCGCAUCGUUUGGCUUUGCGGGAAGCGAGUCAGAGCAAGUAACAGACAGCUUUUCAACUGACAGCAACGGCAAUGACGUUCAUACCCUCUCUGCAAUGUACUUUAACCAUCAACAGACCAUUUUAUCAUCGACGGUUAAGCGAAGCUAGUUAUCAACAUGAUCUGUUUCAGAAUCUAAAAUUCAGACCAACUAGUAAGGAUAUGAAAAAUAUGCUGACUAUGUGGAUGAAAAGCAACAGUAUCAACAGAUGCGGUAAUGGUCUUCAGGUUUUUUUUAACUGUGGCAUAGAACAAGAUACAGGAUAUUUGAAAAUUGCUAUGGUAUAGUUCAAUUUUAAUUUUGUCUGUUAAACAAUUAAAAAAUAUCAUGUCCAGUUGUUGCCUCAAGGUUUUCAUUUGGAAAAAUGCUGCAAUUUCUAUAAAAUCCUAAUGAAAUUUCUCCAACUGAAGAAUGAAUUGAAGUACUUAGCUACAAAAUUGUUCCAAAACCUUCACUUCAAAUGGAAAUUAUUGAUUUUCAAGAAUAUGUAUCAUAGAAAGGAAGAAAGCUAAAGAACAUUUGAGAAAACAAUUGGAAAAACUGACAGAUUUAUUAAAUAUGUUUUAUACAUAGCAAAAAAUUCCCUAAUAUUGAUUGAGGAAAGAGCGAUUUUUGAUAAAUUAUCACAGUUUUAAAAUCAAAGGAAGAUGGGUUUUAUCAACUUCAUCCAGUGACGAUGUAUCCUCAAAGUUAUGAUGUACCGCAAUAGCAUCUGCAUCAAUCACAGUGUGAGCAGCUACAGCAGCAGUAUGUGCAUGAACUAAUGCCACCAUAAUCAUUGAUGGAGCAGCAGCCACUGAUGCUCUUGUAAAAGUAUUGACUUUCAAUUUUGGUGAGCCAGGUGAUAGUCCAAAUUCAAGGCACGUAAAGACUACUUACUUUGUUCACCAAGAUAUGCAUGGUGUCGCCUAGUUGCAGUGGCGUCAAAAUAGUAUUAAAAUAGUCGUUCAAACAUUACCUCCAAAAAAAUGUACAAAUGAAAUCCACCCCCUGCCCUAUACCCCUUUUAAUAUUCUUCUAUUCACAACAACACCCAUUUUUAUAUAUUUCUUUACAAAUUAUUUAAAUAUAAACUAUAAAAAUUAAUAAUAUACAUAAGGAUGUUGCACUAU